UUAAAUGUGCCAUCUUAGUUACAUGCUUCUUUAACUUUAUACAGGUGAAGCAUAAAAAAUUAUUGUAUGUUGUGAAUGAAAGAGAAAUAUUAAAAAUAAAAAAUUCAGUUGCUACAACUAUUAAAAGAUCACCAACCUGUAAUAUUAUCGGUAAGCUGAUAAUAUACACGUUGUUAUAUUGCUAUAAAAUAUUAAAUUUGUUUGUAUUAUGAAGUUGACCAGCACUGUGAUGAAGUUCCUGCCUGUCAGGCUUGCUUAAAUUACAGUGGCUUUAGCAGAAAAGAUGCGGUGGAAGUGAACGAUGAAGUGCAUGAAUAAAGUGGGUUAAAUUUCUGUGUAUUCUUGACAAUUUCUGUAUUUUAUUUAAUCUUUUUGACAUGAUUUAGGCUGUUUUUAAUGAAGAAGUGAAUAACCUUGAUGAAUGUCAAAAGAUGUUUUAUAAAAAUCAAAUUCAAAAUGCCUCAGUUUCAACACACGCAAGAAGAUAUCACCCGGAUGUAAUCAGAUGGGCUAUUGAACUUUUAUGCUGUUCACCUGCUGCUAAUGACCAUAUAAGACAAAGCAAUAUUUUAUUUCUUUCCUCCGUCUCCACCAUUAAAAGUUACAGAUUUGUGUGUCUUACAGAUGUAAUUUGUUGGUAUCUUUUAAAAACCAUUACAGAAAUUGCAUUCCUGCUACAACAGGUUUAAACAAAACUGCAAUUGCUGAAAUAGAACGUGUGGCUUUGUGUGUCCUUACAGAUGUAAUUAGCUGGUAUCUUUUAAAAACCAAUACAGAAAUUGCAUUCCUGCUACAACAGGUUUAAACAAAACUACAAUUGCUGAAAUAGAUCGUGUAGCAAAGGAAAACAAUCAAUUAAUUUGUUUCAUUACAUUAGAUGAAAUGAAAAGUGAGCUAGUAACUGAGUUGUUUAAAAUAUAAACAGUGGUUUAACCUCGUAUUUAUUAUGUUUAAAGUUCAGGAGAAUGUAGUUAUUCGGGUUUGCUGAGCUUGAAACUGUUGAACAGUCUAUAAAUCCAAAUCUUGCAACUCACAUUUUAUUAGCUUUGUAAUCACAAAUCAAAAGCCCUUUAUACAAAACUAAACAUUUCAAUAUUUUUUCAGUUUUCUGCUGCAGCCUACCGAAUGUCAUUAAUUUUUUGGGAGCUGCUCUCUGAUUGUGAAAAGAGAGGUCGGCAGAUUCAUGCUGUAGUUGCAGAUGGACUGUCACUUAAUCGCAGGUUUAAACUAAUAAGUGGUAACCAGGUCCCCCUAGAUGGAACAUUUACUGCUCCAAAUCCAAAUGCACCACAUCGACCCAUCUACUUAUGUUCAGACCCAUGCCGUUUGUUAAAGACUGUUCGCAACUCACUGUUGUCAUCAAAGCCUGGUGCCACACGAUAUAUGAAUAUCAAUGGUGAGGAUAUACUGUGGACAGACAUUGUUAAAUUAUAUGAAGUGGAUGCAAAGUCACCAAUCCUAAAUUCUUCAGGACUAAACUUACACCAUACAGCAAAAGUACAACGAGUAUUACUUAUCCUAACUUGAAAAUUUAUGUAUUAAUUAUUUGUGCAGAUAUUAAAGUUAACUUAGCUAAGGAUGUUUUGAGUUGGCGUGUUGGGCAGUGUUUAAGUGUUAUUCCAGCAGAAAAAGGAACAUCUGACUUUGUUUUGAUGUUUUCAAAAUGGUUUGAAAUAAUUAAUUGCAGUACAAGUUUCCCCAUUCGCAACUGUUCAGACACAAGGUUGGAGUGGUUACAAGAGACGUUCAUUAAAAAGUUGCUAAAAUGGAAGGUUGCUUACUUGUUCUAUUUAUUUGUUACGUAUUUCCAAGGUAUUCUUUUUAUCUAAUUUAGAAAACUUUACCAUUUCAGAAUGAUGUUGAAGUGAACCACCCAGGAGAAGACACGAUUAAUGGCCCGACCAACUCUGGAGGGGUUGUUGUUUACCACAAAAAAAAUUAUCGAAUUAUCUCGCAGGCUGUUACAAUGUCUUGAUUAUGUUUGCCUGCAUUCUUUUAGUCAGGACAUUUUAGAAGCAUUUUUUGGAAAUCAAGUUGUGCAACUAUUCAAUAUGU
This is a non-coding RNA of Ciona intestinalis (vase tunicate), 2055 nucleotides long. Lineage: Eukaryota; Metazoa; Chordata; Ascidiacea; Phlebobranchia; Cionidae. The record is from RefSeq and is a predicted model, not a curated record.